Molecule: ribosomal RNA, 253 nt
Filed under: uncultured bacterium
Lineage: Bacteria
Description: partial 16S ribosomal RNA
Rfam family: Bacterial small subunit ribosomal RNA
Source: RNAcentral
UACGUAGGUGGCAAGCGUUGUCCGGAUUUAUUGGGUUUAAAGGGUGCGUAGGCGGUUUUUUAAGUCAGUGGUGAAAUACUUCAGCUCAACUGGAGAGGUGCCAUUGAUACUGGAGAACUUGAGUACUGAUGAGGUAGGCGGAAUGGACGGUGUAGCGGUGAAAUGCUUAGAUAUCGUCCAGAACACCGAUAGCGAAGGCAGCUUACUAAAGAGUAACUGACGCUGAGGCACGAAAGUGUGGGGAUCAAACAGG